GAUCCAAAUGACUUCCAAGGCCAUAAAAUAGAAAUCAGCUUUGCAGUGCUCAUGUUCCAAAUUCUCCUCCUCCUCAUCCUCCUCUUUUGAAAAGUGCCAAGUGUUGGUGAAUGUUCAGUUAAUCUAAUAAUGGAAGUAUUCUACAGCCAUAUAUCUAUUUGGAUCAACUUGACUACCUUGGAGCAUGAGAUCAGUUCAAUAGUCAAAUGUUUUUGUGCAUUUGAAUAUGCGGAGACAUUAUUGUGAAAGAAGGAAGAAUAACCUGGAUAACUGCCAAGAUAGAGUUAGGUAACAUAAACAAGAAAAGCAAAGAUGAAGAAAAAGGAAAGGAAAAUACACAUAUGUAAAAUAAAACUUACAGAUUUAAA
Non-coding RNA from Pantherophis guttatus, 368 nucleotides. Lineage: Eukaryota; Metazoa; Chordata; Lepidosauria; Squamata; Colubridae. The record is from RefSeq and is a predicted model, not a curated record.